RNAcentral lists this long non-coding RNA (5656 nucleotides) under Coffea arabica (coffee). RNAcentral describes it as "long non-coding RNA (CARA_LNC005257)". Lineage: Eukaryota; Viridiplantae; Streptophyta; Magnoliopsida; Gentianales; Rubiaceae. The record is from RNAcentral.
UUCUAAUCAAGGCUGAUCAAGACCCUUCGCGAAAUUAUUGGGCUAGUGCACAUAUUGUUAGCAGAAAUAGCAAUACUACAAAUGGAUUAGGCAUCAUCAAUUACUAUCCAAAUCAUCCCAAAAGAAAUCCCCCCACGAGUCCCCUGGUUGGACCUCGAUGGAACGAUACAGCUCCCAGAAUUGCUCAAAGUCAAGCAAUCAAAGCUCUCAAAGGCUACAUCCAUACCCCUCCACAGACAACAGAUAGAGUAAUUGUUAUGCUCAAUACACAAAACAAGAUAGAUGAUCAUGUCCGUUGGUCUGUCAACAAUGUCUCAUUUGGCCUUCCUGAUACACCUUACCUCAUAGCCCUUAAACAAAAUUUUCUACAUGCUUUCGAGCAAACCCCUCCUCCAGAAGGAUACGAUGCUGCCAACUACGACAUCUAUAGUGUUGCCAAGAAUGUAAAUGCUACGACAAGCAACUCGAUUUAUCGGCUCAAGUUCAACUCGACAGUUGAUGUAAUCUUGCAGAAUGCAAACACAAUGAAUGUGAAUAACAGUGAAACACAUCCUUGGCAUCUUCACGGGCAUGAUUUUUGGGUCCUGGGCUAUGGUAUAGGCAAGUUUAACAUCUCAACUGAUCCCAAGAAGUACAACCUUGUCAAUCCGAUAAUGAAGAAUACAGUGCCUGUUCAUCCUUAUGGCUGGACUGCAUUGAGAUUCAGAGCUGAUAAUCCAGGUGUUUGGCUAUUCCAUUGCCAUAUUGAAGCUCAUUUCUUCCAGGGCAUGGGAGUGGUAUUUGAAGAAGGGGUGGAGAAGGUAGGAAGAUUGCCCACAUCUAUAAUGGGAUGCGGUGAAACAAAACGCUUUUUCAAGCCGUAGAGAAAUAAAAGAAAUACAAGCUGAAGAUAUAUAGCACAAAAGAUUCAAGCCGCUUUGUCUUGUAUGUAGCACAAAAGAUUCUUGAAAUCCCUUUUUUUUUUAUAAAUGUUUUCCCGGUAUCUAUAAGUGUGUUUGGAUUAUAAAUUCUUUGAGAUAAUUUUGUUAAAAAGUAUUGUAGCACUUUUUUGAUAUGAUAUAUGUGAGAUAAAAAGGUAAUUGCAAAAUGUGUUGAUAAUGCAAGCAAAUCAGUAUGUGUAAAUAAAAUGUAAAUAAAGUAGAAUAAUUUGAUCAGCAUUUGCCUUGAAGGACAGUUUCCCAAUGCUUUUUAACUUCAAAAACUGUUUGAUUCUUUAGCCAAAAUUCUCUCUUUCUUUGCGCAAAUAAAACUUUGAUUAAGCUAAUAAAGCGGUUAAUCAAAUCAAGUUAGUCAAAUACUGUAUUUUAUUCCCUCCUCCCCUCUAAUUUAGGGAGGUUUUUCCUUGUUAAGUUCUGGAUAAUUUUCUCCUAGGCACCAUUUUCACAACGGAUCUUUCAUCCCAUUGUGCUACUCUCUAUCCCAUUUUCAUUAUAUUAUUAUUUUCUGUCAUAAACAUUAUAUUUUAACUCUUUUUUGUUUCUUAAUUAAGAUCCAAUAACUAUUAAAAAAUAGUAAAAAAUAAAAGAAAGUGUGAAAAAGAAUAAAAAGGGAGUGAAUAAACGAAAAAUAGUAAGGGCAAUUUUGUCUUAAAAUAUUAAAUAUGGAGGCAAAAUGCUUAUUUAAUGAGUUCAGAAGGGGUAAAAUGUAACCAAGGUAAGGUUCAAGGGGUUUGGUGCAUUUAACCCUUAGGCAUCAGUCAAUGGAGCUUCCCUGCAUGACAGGCAACCGCCUGCAUGGAGCUUUCCUGGUCGUGACCUGUGAUGCUAACACAUGAAUAAAGCCUUCCUUUAGGCAUAAGUCAAUGGAGAAUCUUCUACCCUCAUCGAGUCUACUUGUUUGUUCUUAGAUAUUUUUUUUUACGCGGUUUCACAACGCGGAAACUGGAACCCAUUUUUGAGCUUUCAAAUCAUUUGUCUAUAAUUAAACAUAUCAUGAUAUCCCCACUUUUAUUUAAUUAAUUUCUUUCAAAUUUCGGCUAAUAUAACAUAGCUUUAGCUAGAUCACCCUCUUUCUUCUUUUAACGCGGUUUAGUGUUUUUUGGCCCCCGCAAAAAGUAGAAUCUGAGAUCUGGUUGUAGUUUAUUUCUUUGCUAAGGAAGUAGAAAAAUGGCCAAUCAGCUUGUCUAGCGUACCGACAAUUGGUCAAAUCUAAGUAAAAGAAAAAGGUUCAAGUUACAAUUCUCGUUGAAAUAUCAUAUUCUUGUUUUCCUUAACACGGUAUAGGGGCAUCUUUUACCACCUAAAAUGACAAGCCUUGGCGCAUGGCCAAUAGCCGUUUGGUUUGUUGGUGAAAGUUCAAAGGUUCAAAUCUUACUUCUCAUCAGUAAUUUUUUAUGACUUGUCACUUUCAAUGGUUUCGUUGGAUGAUAUUUUCGUAUUGGUUAAGUCCCUCCUCCUUCUAGAAUAAGAUAAAGUAGGUUAUAGAAAUAUUGACAAAAAAAAAAAGAAGAGAAAACUUUAGUUGUGUUUGGAUUGCAUUUUCCGUCAUUUUUCAUGGAAAAAUUACUGUAGCGAUUUAAUAUAUGUGAGGGAAAAAGGUGAUAGAGAAAUGUGAUCACGGAAAACGACAAUAUUUUCCGACGGAAACAAGCAAUCCAAGCAUGACCUUUGUUUUGACUGGUACAACUUGAAUCAAGGACUGUAUAAAUAUAAAACAAUAAAUAUAGACAUUGAUACAAUGAUAAUAAAAAUACAAUGAACUUUUACUCUCAUUGAAAUUUGUGUUAAAAAGCUUUGUCGUAUUUUUAUAUAUUAUUCUGCGAAUGUCUACGUUUAUUGUUCUAAUAUCUAAUAUUUGUUAUGCCAUUGCCUAUGCUGUAUGGUACAAUUACCAUUGGCAAUUAUAGAGAUAACUUAUCUCUGAAACUUCUUGUCGGAGUUAAAAAAGAAGUUUGCAGUCAGAAAGUAAUUAUCAGUAAAAACCGAAAAGUAACGCACCACAUAGGAUUCUCCGAAAAUGUAAAAUCCAAGAAAUACAUAAUUAGGGUUGGUUGGAGAUGUACAUUACCAAGUCAUACCCUUACGAAGUCAAACAGGGGACGUAUUCCUCUUGGCAGUGCUAUUCCACUUACAGACGAGACCAAGUUGGCAUGUACAGAUUGGCAUUGCAACGACCAGAUCCGUUUCCCCUGCGGGUGCCGGCGGGGAAAAAAAUUUAUAAUUAAUAAGAAAUAUAUAAUUAAUAAAAAUAUAAUCAAUAAUUUAGUAUAAAUAUAUUAAUACAGGUAAUCAAUAAUUUACAUUAAUAUAAAUAUAUAAUUAUUAGUAUAAUUAAUAAUAUUAAAUAUGUUUUAUAUGUAUAUAGGGGACGGAGAAGGGGAUGGGACAGGAUCUCCUACCCCUUUUUUUUAGCGGAAGGUAAAAAUUACGGUUUCAAAUUUUCUGUCUCCAAAUUAGUCUCUAUCCCUUCUGUCCCUUCUUUAUAUAGCUGUCAUGUGUCUUUAAUUUUUUGAUAACCCAAACUCAUACAAACCGAUAAUAAUCGGUUAACAAGUUUACUCAAAACCAAAACUUGCAGUCUUUUUCUUCAUGCAAACUAGAGUUGAAGAAAUUUUGAUUAGGGAACCACCGCUUGAUUUAUCCAAAGAAAAAAAUAGUUUUAAGUUAUUGGAACCGCUUGAUUUAUCCAAAGGCAAAAAAGUUUUGAAUUAUCUGUUUUACUUGGUUUUGAGUAAACUUGUUAAUCGAUUAUUAUUGGUUUGUUUGAGUUUGUGUUAUCAAAAAAUUAGAGACACAUGACAACUAUAUAAAGAAAGGACAGAAAGGAUAGAAACUAAUUUGGGGACAGAAAAUUCGAAGCCAAAAAUUACCCGCAUGAACCCCGGGUGAGCACCCUUUUUAAUUGCCAUCCCUCUGUCAGGGGAAAUUGGAGGGCAAUUUCGUUCUUUUGAACGGUCUUGGUCGUCGUCUGCAACUUGGUCUUGGUCUUAGCUCUCAAGCUAUCAACUGCCUCCCUAUAUAUGUAAUUGUUUCUUGAUCAGCUCAAGAAAUUAGCAAGACAAGCUACCGUCCCGAGCUACAUUGCUUUAAUCAAGACAUCAAAACUUGUGGACUGCUUGAACUUUUUCAAGAGAUCAUUGAGACAUGGCGGCUGAGCUUCUCCAAUGCAGAAGUUUAGCUAAAAACUUGGUGGGCUUGUGUUUGUUUUUGUGUUUGGCAUCUGCCGCGUUUCCUUCUGUUGAAGCUAAAGUUAGAUACCAUAAGUGGGAGGUGAAAUAUGAGUACAAGUCUCCUGAUUGCUACAAGAAGUUGGUGAUGACCAUCAAUGGAAGAAGUCCAGGACCAACCAUCAAUGCUCAGCAAGGUGAUACUAUUAUAGUUGAGCUCAAGAACAGCUUGCUACUUGAGAAUGUUGCCAUCCAUUGGCAUGGAAUCAGACAGGUAAUCAAGGAGAAAAUCUGACAUCUUCCUAUAUUUCUCUGUUCUCAAUAUUAUGGUUUCUUGAUGGUACAAGAUUUUAAUAUCUAUUCCUAUUUAUUGAGUGCAGCAUGGAACACCUUGGUCUGACGGGACAGAAGGGGUGACACAGUGUCCAAUUCUCCCAGGAGAUACCUUUACAUACAAGUUCAUAGUAGACAGAGUAAGUCCAAUGGCUGAUAUAGUCCCUUGCUUUAAUGCUACAUGCUUCAUUUACCAUAGAUUUGAUCUGAUUGGUAAAAUAUGUCACUUUUCUUGCAGCCUGGAACAUAUUUGUAUCAUGCACAUUAUGGUAUGCAAAGAGAAGCAGGGCUAUAUGGAAUGAUUAAGGUUUCACUUCCUGCUGGAGAGUCUGAGCCUUUUUCUUAUGACUAUGACCGCAGCAUCAUCCUUAAUGAUUGGUACCACAAGAGUGCUUAUGAACAAAUGACUGGGCUCAAUUCAAUACCCUUUGGUUGGGUUGGGGAACCUCAGGUAAUUAAUGCUUUAAUUUAGUAUUACAGUUGAUCAGUUUUAUGCAUCAAAAAGCUUGAGGCUAAUGGUUUUUCUUCAACAUUUUCAGUCAAUUUUGAUACAAGGCAGAGGAAAAUUCAACUGCAGCACACCGGGGAUCGAAGCCGGUCUUUGCAAUGCGACAAAUCCAGAGUGUUCCCCUUUCUCAUUGACAGUUGUUCCUGGCAAAACAUACCGGCUGAGGAUUGGAAGCUUGACCGGUCUUUCAGCCUUGAGUUUUGAAAUAGAGGUACAAAUUACUACAGUUUCUUACAAAUUUUCCUGUUAUCAAGAAUUGUUGAAGUAUCCCUUCACAUGCUUUACCAGCUGGACCCAAAAUUUUUAAUUUCUAAAAGCUUAUCCGCAGAAUAAACAAUCAAGGCCGACUGCCAAACACUUAUUAUCAUUAAAUAUUGAAUGUAGGGUCACAAUAUGACUGUUGUUGAAGCUGAUGGCAACAAUGUCGAGCCGUUUGUGGUCCAAAAUCUUUUCAUCUACUCUGGAGAGACAUACUCCGUUCUAAUCAAGGCUGAUCAAGACCCUUCGCGAAAUUAUUGGGCUAGUGCACAUAUUGUUAGCAGAAAUAGCAAUACUACCAAUGGAUUGGGCAUCAUCAAUUACUAUCCAAAUCAUCCCAGAAGAAAUCCCCCCACAAGUCCCCCGGUUGGACCUCGAUGGAACGAUACAGCUCCCAGAAUUGCUCAAAGUCAAGCAAUCAAAGCUCUCAAAGGCUACAUCCAUACCCCUCC